This 389-nucleotide ribosomal RNA is filed under the name uncultured soil bacterium. RNAcentral's name for it is "bacterial SSU rRNA". It matches the Rfam family "Bacterial small subunit ribosomal RNA", at positions 975 to 1368 of the family's 1533-position model. The record is from RNAcentral.
CUACCCUUGACAUGUCAGGAAUCCCGCAGAAAUGUGGGGGUGCCCGGAAGGGAACCUGAACACAGGUGCUGCAUGGCUGUCGUCAGCUCGUGUCGUGAGAUGUUGGGUUAAGUCCCGCAACGAGCGCAACCCUUGUCCCUAGUUGCUACGCAAGGGCACUCUAGGGAGACUGCCGGUGACAAACCGGAGGAAGGUGGGGAUGACGUCAAGUCCUCAUGGCCCUUAUGGGUAGGGCCUCACACGUCAUACAAUGGUACAUACAGAGGGCCGCCAACCCGCGAGGGGGAGCUAAUCCCAGAAAGUGUAUCGUAGUCCGGAUUGUAGUCUGCAACUCGACUACAUGAAGUUGGAAUCGCUAGUAAUCGCGGAUCAGCAUGUCGCGGUGAAUA